This 226-nucleotide long non-coding RNA is filed under the name Elaeis guineensis (African oil palm). RNAcentral's name for it is "long non-coding RNA (EGUI_LNC072968)". Lineage: Eukaryota; Viridiplantae; Streptophyta; Magnoliopsida; Arecales; Arecaceae. The record is from RNAcentral.
GUGAAGGAAAAAUCGAUUUUUUUCUUGUACGAUCUUCCAGAUCUAAUGAGAUCUGAGACGAAAUAUUUCAAAAAAAAAAUUAUCCUACGAUAUUUUAGAUCUAAGAUCUAUUAGAUCUAAUUCCUAUUAUCUGAUAUUAAAUCUAAAAUUAAAUCUGAAAACAUGAGGAAUAAAGAAAUACCUCUAGGGUAACUAGAUUACCCUAUAGAUGAUCGCAGCAAUGUCC